GCCCUGCUCAGAAUAGCACCUGGAGAUUUUCCAGUACUCUACCAGUCUCGGUUACGGGAGGGAGAGUCAAGCAGAGGCCUAUCCAUUCCAUUCCUAGCUUGGGCAGUGGCUAGUGAGUGGAAGGCAAUCUGUUCCAAGU
Molecule: small nucleolar RNA, 139 nt
Organism: Ornithorhynchus anatinus (platypus)
Lineage: Eukaryota; Metazoa; Chordata; Mammalia; Monotremata; Ornithorhynchidae
Source: RefSeq, a predicted model, not a curated record